GAUGAACGCUGGCGGCGUGCCUAAUACAUGCAAGUCGAGCGAACGGACGAGAAGCUUGCUUCUCUGAUGUUAGCGGCGGACGGGUGAGUAACACGUGGAUAACCUACCUAUAAGACUGGGAUAACUUCGGGAAACCGGAGCUAAUACCGGAUAAUAUUUUGAACCUCAUGGUUCAAAAGUGAAAUACGGUCUUUCUUCCACUUAUAGAUGGAUCCGUGCUGCAUUAGCUAGUUGGUAAGGUAACGGUUUACCAAGGCAACGAUGCAUAGCCGCCCUCAGAGGGUGAUCAGCAACUGGGGAGAUAAGAGACGCACCCACAUCGGAAGGGAGGCACGAGUCGGGAACCUACGGGAAGGGGCGGAAGGCUGACGGACGCACGGGGCGUGAGUGAUGCAGGGCCUCGGCGCGUAAAACACUGUUGUUAGGGAAGAACAUAUGUGUAAGUAACGGUGCAAUACUGGCGGGUACCGAAUAAGAAGGCCACGCUAAACUCGGG
Molecule: ribosomal RNA, 496 nt
Filed under: uncultured bacterium
Lineage: Bacteria
Description: partial 16S ribosomal RNA
Rfam family: Bacterial small subunit ribosomal RNA
Source: RNAcentral